UACAGAGGUGGCAAGCGUUGUUCGGAAUUACUGGGCGUAAAGGGCGCGUAGGUGGCCUUGUUAGUCAGACGUGAAAUCCCCAAGCUUAACUUGGGAACUGCGUCUGAUACUGCAAGGCUUGAGUUCGGGAGAGGGAUGUGGAAUUCCAGGUGUAGCGGUGAAAUGCGUAGAUAUCUGGAGGAAUACCGGUGGCGAAGGCGGCAUCCUGGACCGACAUUGACGCUGAGGAGCGAAAGCUAGGGGAGCAAACGGGAUUAGAAACCCUUGUAGU
Molecule: ribosomal RNA, 271 nt
Filed under: uncultured bacterium
Lineage: Bacteria
Description: partial 16S ribosomal RNA
Rfam family: Bacterial small subunit ribosomal RNA
Source: RNAcentral